Long non-coding RNA from Rhagoletis zephyria (snowberry fruit fly), 635 nucleotides. RefSeq lists it as uncharacterized. NCBI's taxonomy places the organism in Eukaryota, Metazoa, Arthropoda, Insecta, Diptera, Tephritidae. The record is from RefSeq and is a predicted model, not a curated record.
UUUAGCACAGCAAGGGUGCCGCGGUGAGUAAAGUUUGGGAACCCCUGGUCUAGGGUAUUAGGAGAGUAGUGUGAAAUAGUAAAAAUUCGUGCUCAUUGAAAUAUCUCCGAAAAGAAAACACCAUGUCCGAGUAUUUUCAAAGGUAACUUUACAUGAAUUGUGUGGCUAUUUGAGCAAUUAAUUAGCGAAAUUCUUAAGUUUGACAGAAAUCAUAUAUGCUUGCAUUGAUACGUUUAACAGUACUUUUAUUCUAUAAAUGAUGAUAAAAUCAUGACGGUCUUCAGAAACAUAAUUGCUGAAAAAACUUGACAUUCCACUAGAACACUGAUUUGAAAUUAUCAAACUUAAGAUAGCUUUAGAUAGAAAAUGGAUGUAAUAUUUAUUUAUUUUUUAUUUGCAGAGAUGUCGAAAUCGGUGAUAUAGUUACAGUUGGCGAGUGUCGUCCACUUUCUAAAACUGUGCGUUUCAACGUUCUUAAAGUCACCAAGGGGCAGGGAACCAAAAAGAGUUUUAAAAAAUUUUAACUUGGUGCUUUUUAAAUAAAUAAGAAAGAAAAAUACUUUCUCUUUGAUUCUAAGUAAUAAUAAUCCAAUAUUGUAUAUCCUAUUCAAAAAUUUGAAAUUCAAAAAUUGUUC